This 434-nucleotide ribosomal RNA is filed under the name uncultured bacterium. RNAcentral's name for it is "bacterial SSU rRNA". It matches the Rfam family "Bacterial small subunit ribosomal RNA", at positions 28 to 493 of the family's 1533-position model. The record is from RNAcentral.
GAUGAACACUGGCGGCGUGCCUAACACAUGCAAGUCGAGCGAUUCUCUUCGGAGAAGAGCGGCGGACGGGUGAGUAACGCGUGGGUAACCUACCCUGUACACACGGAUAACAUACCGAAAGGUAUGCUAAUACGGGAUAAUAUAUAGAAAUCGCAUGAUUUUUAUGUCAAAGAUUUAUUGGUACAGGAUGGACCCGCGUCUGAUUAGCUUGUUGGCGGGGUAACGGCCCACCAAGGCGACGAUCAGUAGCCGACCUGAGAGGGUGAUCGGCCACAUUGGAACUGAGACACGGUCCAAACUCCUACGGGAGGCAGCAGUGGGGAAUAUUGCACAAUGGGCGCAAGCCUGAUGCAGCAACGCCGCGUGAGCGAUGAAGGCCUUCGGGUCGUAAAGCUCUGUCCUCAAGGAAGAUAAUGACGGUACUGAGAGAGCCC